GCUUGUUCUACUACUUGUUGAAUCAUACACAAAGGCACGUUUUAUAGCACCGAGUUACCAAAUGCGUUUUCGUGCUAUCAAUGUACUAUCAACUCAUAGUAACAACUCAUAUCUCUAGGUUUGAAGAAUAUAAGAUAUUAUCGUCUCAUGAUCACUCGUGAUAAAGUCCAUGAAGUGAUUCCAAUAGGAGCGGGUUGAAUCCAAUACUCAAAACUUAUGAGCACUCAUGAUUGUUGUAGCCCUNUUAUCGUCUCAUGAUCACUCGUGAUAAAAUCCAUGAAGUGAUUCAAAUGAGCGCGGGUUGAAUCCAAUACUCAGAACUUAUGAGCACUCAUGAGUGUUGUAGCACAACUUUGUCCACCAACUUGGACCUCUACAAGCC
Molecule: long non-coding RNA, 382 nt
Filed under: Lactuca sativa (garden lettuce)
Lineage: Eukaryota; Viridiplantae; Streptophyta; Magnoliopsida; Asterales; Asteraceae
Description: long non-coding RNA (LSAT_LNC002406)
Source: RNAcentral